UACGUAGGGGGCAAGCGUUGUCCGGAUUUAUUGGGCGUAAAGAGCGUGUAGGCGGCCAUACAGGUCAGCUGUGAAAACUCGAGGCUCAACCUCGAGACGUCGGUUGAAACCGUAUGGCUAGAGUCCGGAAGAGGAGAGUGGAAUUCCCGGUGUAGCGGUGAAAUGCGCAGAUAUCGGGAAGAACACCCGUGGCGAAGGCGGCUCUCUGGGACGGUACUGACUCUGAGACGCGAAAGCGUGGGGAGCGAACAGG
RNAcentral lists this ribosomal RNA (253 nucleotides) under uncultured bacterium. RNAcentral describes it as "partial 16S ribosomal RNA". It matches the Rfam family "Bacterial small subunit ribosomal RNA", at positions 524 to 776 of the family's 1533-position model. The record is from RNAcentral.